AAACUAUUUAGGCAAGGGAAGUCAGAAAAAUAGAUUCAUAACUUUGGGAAAAGGAUUGGAUCUGACUGUUGGGCACAUGGGUCAUAGUCCUAAACCCAUCGACUGUUGAUGGACUGCUCGAACUGCUCCUACGAUGAGAGUGGGUCACUGCGUGCCAUCUAGGGGAUGGUCUGGAAUAUUUUCUUUGGAGGCCUUCCCUGUGCAUCAAACAUCCAACUGAGAACUGCCCAACCCUCAGAGCCAAUCCUUUUCACAACGUUUCUAAUCUAUUUUGCCAAAUUCCCUUGCCUAUAUUU
Molecule: non-coding RNA, 296 nt
Organism: Capsicum annuum
Lineage: Eukaryota; Viridiplantae; Streptophyta; Magnoliopsida; Solanales; Solanaceae
Source: Rfam